CUACGGGACGCUCCAGUGGGGAAUAUUGGGCAAUGGAGGCAACUCUGACCCAGCAACGCCGCGUGAUGGAUGAAGGCCUUAGGGUUGUAAACUUCUGUUGUAAAGGAAGAAAAAAAUGACGGUACUUUACUAGAAAGCCCCGGCAAACUAUGUGCCAGCAGCCGCGGUAAGACAUAGGGGGCAAGCGUUAUCCGGAAUCACUGGGCGUAAAGCGAGCGUAGGCGGUUAAUUAAGUUAAGUGUGAAAGCCUUGGGCUCAACCCAAGAACUGCACUUAAUACUGGUUGACUAGAGUAUUGGAGAGGUAAGUGGAAUUCCUAGUGUAGCGGUAAAAUGCGUAGAUAUUAGGAGGAACAUCAGAGGCGAAGGCGGCUUACUGGACAAUAACUGACGCUGAGGUUCGAAAGCGUGGGGAGCAAACAGGAUUAGAUACCCGUGUAGUC
Molecule: ribosomal RNA, 442 nt
Filed under: uncultured bacterium
Lineage: Bacteria
Description: partial 16S ribosomal RNA
Rfam family: Bacterial small subunit ribosomal RNA
Source: RNAcentral